This 98-nucleotide transfer RNA is filed under the name Galerina marginata CBS 339.88. RNAcentral's name for it is "tRNA-Asp". Lineage: Eukaryota; Fungi; Basidiomycota; Agaricomycetes; Agaricales; Galerinaceae. The record is from RNAcentral.
UCUCUGUUAGUAUAUCGGUUAGUACACGCGCCUGUCAUGUGUUCGUUCACUGAUUGCACCGGCCGCGCGAAAGCUGGGUUCGACUCCCAGACAGAGAG